UGCAGUCGGACGGUAGCACAGAGGAGCUUGCUCCUCGAGUGACGAGUGGCGGACGGGUGAGUAAUGUCUGGGGAUCUGCCCGAUAGAGGGGGAUAACCACUGGAAACGGUGGCUAAUACCGCAUAACGUCGCAAGACCAAAGAGGGGGACCUUCGGGCCUCUCACUAUCGGAUGAACCCAGAUGGGAUUAGCUAGUAGGCGGGGUAACGGCCCACCUAGGCGACGAUCCCGAGCUGGUCUGAGAGGAUGACCAGCCACACUGGAACUGAGACACGGUCCAGACUCCCACGGGAGGCAGCAGUGGGGAAUAUUGCACAAUGGGCGCAAGUGAUGCAGCCAUGCCGCGUGUAUGAAGAAGGCCUUCGGGUUGUAAAGUACUUUCAGCGGGGAGGAAGGCAGUGAGGUUAAUAACCUUACUGAUUGACGUUACCCGCAGAAGAAGCACCGGCUAACUCCGUGCCAGCAGCCGCGGUAAUACGGAGGGUGCGAGCGUUAAUCGGAAUUACUGGGCGUAAAGCGCACGCAGGCGGUCUGUUAAGUCAGAUGUGAAAUCCCCGGGCUUAACCUGGGAACUGCAUUUGAAACUGGCAGGCUUGAGUCUCGUAGAGGGGGGUAGAAUUCCAGGUGUAGCGGUGAAAUGCGUAGAGAUCUGGAGGAAUACCGGUGGCGAAGCGGCCCCCUGGUACGAAGACUGACGCUCACGUGCGAAACGGUGGGGAGCACACAGGAUUAGAUAACGCGAUAAGUCGACCGCCUGGGGAGUACGGCCGCAAGGUUAAAACUCAAAUGAAUUGACGGGGGCCGCACAAGCGGAGGAGCAUGUGGUUUAAUUCGAUGCAACGCGAAGAACCUUACCUACUCUUGACAUCCACGGAAUUCGGCAGAGAUGCCUUAGUGUUUCGGGAACCGUGAGACAGGUGCUGCAUGGCUGUCGUCAGCUCGUGUUGUGAAAUGUUGGGUUAAGUCCCGCAACGAGCGCAACCCUUAUCCUUUGUUGCCAGCGAUUCGGUCGGGAACUCAAAGGAGACUGCCGGUGAUAAACCGGAGGAAGGUGGGGAUGACGUCAAGUCAUCAUGGCCCUUACGAGUAGGGCUACACACGUGCUACAAUGGCGCAUACAAAGAGAAGCGACCUCGCGAGAGCAAGCGGACCUCAUAAAGUGCGUCGUAGUCCGGAUCGGAGUCUGCAACUCGACUCCGUGAAGUCGGAAUCGCUAGUAAUCGUGGAUCAGAAUGCCACGGUGAAUACGUUCCCGGGCCUUGUACACACCGCCCGUCACACCAUGGGAGUGGGUUGCAAAAGAAGUAGGUAGCUUAACUCCGGGUGGGCGA
Molecule: ribosomal RNA, 1331 nt
Filed under: Pantoea sp. gx-83
Lineage: Bacteria; Pseudomonadati; Pseudomonadota; Gammaproteobacteria; Enterobacterales; Erwiniaceae
Description: partial 16S ribosomal RNA
Rfam family: Bacterial small subunit ribosomal RNA
Source: RNAcentral